AGACUGACGGGGGGCUUGCA
RNAcentral lists this microRNA (20 nucleotides) under Heliconius melpomene (postman butterfly). RNAcentral's name for it is "hme-miR-6302-1-5p". Lineage: Eukaryota; Metazoa; Arthropoda; Insecta; Lepidoptera; Nymphalidae. The record is from miRBase by way of RNAcentral.